CCCGUAGAGAAGCUAGUGUUAGGGGGUUUCCGCCCUUUAGUGCUGAAGUUAACGCAUUAAGCACUCCGCCUGGGGAGUACGGCCGCAAGGCUGAAACUCAAAGGAAUUGACGGGGGCCCGCACAAGCGGUGGAGCAUGUGGUUUAAUUCGAAGCAACGCGAAGAACCUUACCAGGUCUUGACAUCCUCUGAAAACCCUAAAAAUAAGGCUUCUCCUUCGGGAGCCAAGUGACAGGUGGGGCAUGGGUGUCGCCACCUCUUGUCGUGAGAUGUUGGGUUAAGUCCCGCAACGAGCGCAACCCUUGAUCUUAGUUGCCAUCAUUAAGUUGGGCACUCUAAGGGGACUGCCGGUGACAAACCGGAGGAAGGUGGGGAUGACGUCAAAUCAUCAUGCCCCUUAUGACCUGGGCUACACACGUGCUACAAUGGACGGUACAAAGAGCUGCGACACCGCGAGGUGGAGCUAAUCUCAUAAAACCGUUCUCAGUUCGGAUUGUAGGCUGCAACUCGCCUACAUGAAGCUGGAAUCGCUAGUAAUCUCGGAUCAUCAUGCCGCGGUGAAUACGUUCCCGGGCCUUGUACACACCGCCCGUCACACCACGAGAGUUUGUAACACCCGAAAUCGGUGGGGUAACCUUUUUGGAGCCACCCGCCUAAGGUGGGACAGAUGAUUGGGGUGAAGUCGUAAAAAGGGAAACCGGGAAGG
This 705-nucleotide ribosomal RNA is filed under the name Bacillus sp. (in: firmicutes). RNAcentral describes it as "bacterial SSU rRNA". It matches the Rfam family "Bacterial small subunit ribosomal RNA", at positions 801 to 1508 of the family's 1533-position model. Lineage: Bacteria; Bacillati; Bacillota; Bacilli; Caryophanales; Bacillaceae. The record is from RNAcentral.